This 251-nucleotide ribosomal RNA is filed under the name uncultured bacterium. Its description in RNAcentral is "partial 16S ribosomal RNA". It matches the Rfam family "Bacterial small subunit ribosomal RNA", at positions 524 to 776 of the family's 1533-position model. The record is from RNAcentral.
UACAGAGGUCUCAAGCGUUGUUCGGAUUCAUUGGGCGUAGGGUGCGUAGGCGGCGCGGUAAGUCGGGUGUGAAAUCUCGGAGCUUAACUCCGAAACUGCAUUCGAUACUGCCGUGCUUGAGGACUGGAGAGGAGACUGGAAUUUACGGUGUAGCGGUGAAAUGCGUAGAUAUCGUAAGGAAGACCAGUGGCGAAGGCGGGUCUCUGGACAGUUCCUGACGCUGAGGCACGAAGGUCAGGGGAGCAAACGGG